Non-coding RNA from Acanthosepion pharaonis, 113 nucleotides. The record is from the annotation of a GenBank genome assembly. Lineage: Eukaryota; Metazoa; Mollusca; Cephalopoda; Sepiida; Sepiidae.
UUAUGGCCACAUCAUGUAGGAAUACUGGUUCCCAUAUGACCACCAAAGUUAAGCAACACCAAGCCUAGUCAGUACCCAGAUGGGUGACUACUCAGGAAUAUCAGGUGCUGUAA